Molecule: long non-coding RNA, 254 nt
Organism: Haliotis rubra (blacklip abalone)
Lineage: Eukaryota; Metazoa; Mollusca; Gastropoda; Lepetellida; Haliotidae
Exons: 2
Source: RefSeq, a predicted model, not a curated record
AGAGAUUUGUGAGGUGAUUCAGUUACCUGAGGCUAAGGCAAGUCGGGUAACUCUAGUUGGGUGCCUGAGAAGCACAUGGGUGACUGAGAGGCACAUGGGUGAGAGACAGCUGUGCAGUGAGAGUGUCUCACACAUUAGAUUUGAUGAUGUAGAAGGUCAAACAAAAUGUCAAUCUUCAAAAUUGAACGUCUUCACACUUCCAUAUCGUCAUAUUCAACAUAUUAUCAUGAGGAAUAAAAUUUGAGGAAUUGACA